This 76-nucleotide transfer RNA is filed under the name Pseudomonas sp. Its description in RNAcentral is "tRNA-Phe". It matches the Rfam family "tRNA". From Rfam's summary of the family: Transfer RNA (tRNA) molecules are approximately 80 nucleotides in length. Lineage: Bacteria; Pseudomonadati; Pseudomonadota; Gammaproteobacteria; Pseudomonadales; Pseudomonadaceae. RNAcentral also lists the same sequence under 11 other names. The record is from RNAcentral.
GCCCGGGUAGCUCAGUUGGUAGAGCAGGGGAUUGAAAAUCCCCGUGUCGGCGGUUCGAUUCCGUCCCCGGGCACCA